Molecule: long non-coding RNA, 1580 nt
Organism: Drosophila elegans
Lineage: Eukaryota; Metazoa; Arthropoda; Insecta; Diptera; Drosophilidae
Exons: 3
Source: RefSeq, a predicted model, not a curated record
AGCUGGUGUUAGUUUUUUCAGCAGAGCUGAACAAUUUUCGUAAAAUGAAAGGGAUUCUUAUUACUCUUUUAUUAAUAACCCUACUUGCUUUUGUAACGGGCUUAGAUGAUUACUGCAAACCCCUUAUUGAGCCUAGGAGGAAAUGCAAACCUUCUGAUCCCGUUCGCCGAGGAUUUACAUAUGACGAAUCAACAAAUAAAUGUGAAAAAAAAGAAAUAUGUACGCUAAGAACUCAAGGCAACAAUUUUUACAAGGAUAUCGCUGCAUGCGAAGCAAAGUGCAAGAAAUAACAAACCAUCGUAAACAGUCAGGCUUAAAAUAAAUUAAGUUAUCCUGUUCAGAAAAAAAUGUUAACUACACCCAAAGAAAAUACACUGAAAGUUUAGUUUUAAAACGUGUGCCUGGUAAAUAAACAACAUACAGUACUAAAGUAUAAGUAUUAAUUAUUCAAUUCUAAAUAACAUAAACCAUUUAUUUUUAUGUUUUAUUUCUAUACCGAAGUAGAACUAUAGUCUACGGGGUGAGUUUUAAGCCAUAUACAUUUUAUUUUGAUACUUUUGUGCUUUUAAUUUAGCACUCAUCUUGUUAAGAAAUUUUUCAAACCAAAUAUCAGUUUCUAAGACAGUUUUGUUUUGGGUGUAGUUGCCAUUCUAAAUUAUUAUUCUAAAUUAAUUGUUUAUCUCAAAAGCGAGUAUUAUUGUUUUGAGAUUUCUUAUAAAUUCGUCAAAAAAUGUUACAUACAUUCUUAAGAAACACUAAAAGUGGGCUUAUAUAAGAACUAAUCAUAAUUUUGCAGAAUCAAUUAACGUAAUGACUAGAACCAAUUUUAUUAGCAACGGUUCUGCAAAAAGUUCUAUAAAAACCUCUCACCCAUAUGUGCUGUGUGUUAGUCUUUUCGCCUGAGCUGAAGGAAUUCAAUAGUUCUCGUAAAAUGAAAUCGAUGUUCAUUACCCUUUUAUUAAUAACACUGCUUGCUUUUGUUACUGGCCAAAUAAAAAGCGACUGCACUCCACGUAGAGUGUUCUUUUUGAGAUGCGAUAAGGAUUUUACUCCAGGAUUCACAUAUAGACAGCAAACAAAUCAAUGUGUAAAAAUUAAUACAUGUAUACAUACACAUAUUACAAACAAUUUUUACAAGGAUAUCGCUGCAUGCGAAGCAAAGUGCAAGAAAUAACAAACCAUUGUAAGCAGUCUGGCUUUAAGUAAAUUAAGUUAUCCUGUUCAGAAAAAAAUGUUAACUACACCCAAAACAAACACUGAAAGUUUAUUUUAAAGACGUGCGUCUUGAAAAUAAACAAUAGAAAGUACCUAAGUAUAAGUAUUAAUUAUUCAAUUCUAAAUAACAUAAACCAUAUUAACUAUAGUCUACGGUUUGAGCUUGCAAUUCUAAGCAAAAUGCAAUACAUAACAAACUGUUGUAAAUAAUUCGAGUUAGGAGUAAAAUAAAUCUAGUAAUCUUUACUAAAGUUUAUAAAACCGUUGUCUUAAGUUUUAUUUUUAAGCCGCAUAAAUUUUGUUUUGAUAAUUUUGUGCUUGGUCGAAAUUUUGCAGAGUCAAUAAACGUAUUUUUAUGUUAUUAA